GUAUUCCUACGGGGCGCAGCAGUGGGGGAUAUUGCACAAUGGGGGGAACCCUGAUGCAGCGACGCCGCGUGGGUGAAGAAGCGCCUCGGCGCGUAAAGCCCUGUCAGCAGGGAAGAAAAUGACGGUACCUGAAGAAGAAGCCCCGGCUAACUACGUGCCAGCAGCCGCGGUAAUACGUAGGGGGCAAGCGUUAUCCGGAUUUAUUGGGUUUAAAGGGUGCGUAGGCGGAUCGUUAAGUCAGUGGUCAAAUUGAGGGGCUCAACCCCUUCCCGCCAUUGAAACUGGCGCUCUUGAGUGGAAGAGAG
This 305-nucleotide ribosomal RNA is filed under the name uncultured bacterium. RNAcentral describes it as "bacterial SSU rRNA". It matches the Rfam family "Bacterial small subunit ribosomal RNA", at positions 333 to 656 of the family's 1533-position model. The record is from RNAcentral.